Molecule: long non-coding RNA, 598 nt
Organism: Oreochromis aureus
Lineage: Eukaryota; Metazoa; Chordata; Actinopteri; Cichliformes; Cichlidae
Source: Ensembl
CUCCCUGUGUCCAGCCGUAACCUCUCAGACAUUUUCAGUCGACCUGGGUUUUCAAAGUGCUCUGGCUUCUGCUCAAUGCUGCGACACAGAUAACUGCAACUCAGCAACUCUGACAAAUCCUGCUUCUCAGUCAAAUAAUGGUGGGGUAUGCAACUUUUGUGACCCUUCCACUGGUCAGUGCUCCUCCACAUUACAGUGUCAGGGAGUGGAGAACCAAUGCUUCCAAUCAAUCAUCAAAAGCAGCACCAGCACGUAUCCAGCUCGGGGCUGCGCAUCUGCAAACCUGUGUGCAGCUGCUUCAAGCCUGGGAUCUCUACCUUUCAUGCAGAGCGUUGGUAGCGUAUCAGGUGUUGCCUGUUCUGCAGCACCAACUACAACUGCUGCCCCGACUACAACCACCGCCCCAACUACAACUACAACCACCGCUGCGACCACAACCACCAUCCCAGCUACAACUACAACCACCGCCGCGACCACAACUGCCGUCCCAACUACAACCACCGCCACGACCACAACUACCGUCCCAACUACAACCACCGCUGCGACUACAACCACCGCCGCGACUACAACCAGCGCCGCAACCACAACCACCAUCACA